This 253-nucleotide ribosomal RNA is filed under the name uncultured bacterium. Its description in RNAcentral is "partial 16S ribosomal RNA". It matches the Rfam family "Bacterial small subunit ribosomal RNA", at positions 524 to 776 of the family's 1533-position model. The record is from RNAcentral.
UACGAAGGGGGCUAGCGUUGCUCGGAAUCACUGGGCGCAAAGGGUGCGUAGGCGGGUCUUUAAGUCAGGGGGGAAAUCCUGGAGCUCAACUCCAGAACUGCCUUUGAUACUGGCGACCUUGAGUCCGGGAGAGGUGAGUGGAACUGCGAGUGUAGAGGUGAAAUUCGUAGAUAUUCGCAAGAACACCAGUGGCGAAGGCGGCUCACUGGCCCGGUACUGACGCUGAGGUGCGAAAGCGUGGGGAGCAAACAGG